RNAcentral lists this microRNA precursor (217 nucleotides) under Amborella trichopoda. RNAcentral describes it as "miR8561 stem-loop (atr-MIR8561)". The record is from miRBase by way of RNAcentral. Lineage: Eukaryota; Viridiplantae; Streptophyta; Magnoliopsida; Amborellales; Amborellaceae.
AGGCAAUAACAAUUUCAUGGACUAGCUCCAACUGUUUUUGUUAAGCUGCAAUUAAUGUGUGACAUUGUUGUCGGCUCACUACUAGUUAUUCGAUGUAUAUGGGGACUAACAUCCUUCCUAUCUUAAUUAGACAACUUGGCAGUGAGCUGACAAUAAUGUCACACAUUAAUUAUGGCCUAACAAGAACAAUUGGUGCUAGUCUUUGACAUUGUCGUCU